This is a long non-coding RNA of Myotis lucifugus (little brown bat), 2042 nucleotides long. RefSeq lists it as uncharacterized. Lineage: Eukaryota; Metazoa; Chordata; Mammalia; Chiroptera; Vespertilionidae. The record is from RefSeq and is a predicted model, not a curated record. The transcript has 2 exons.
GCCCGGGCAGCUGGGCGAGGGCUGAAGGCUCCCAGCACCUGACCCCGGCCCAGCCUGGCCUCUUCCCCCGGAAAAGAGUUAAGCUCCCUCAUCCCACCCUCAGCAGCAGUGAGGGAGGCUCAGCCUGCAGCAUGAGCUCACGCCCAUCCACACUCCAAACCGCCCAGACCAAGGGGCAGCGCCAUGGUGUAGACCCAGAGCAAGCACAGGGGAUGGAGGAGGGGGGGCAAGCCAGAGACCAGGAGCUGGGGUGCUGGCCCCUCCCACAGCCCCUCUGACCCUUUCCUGCAGACCCACUUGGGCCUCUGCCCUCUUUGGAGGGACCCAGGGACGGAGUGGGUGGGGCUAGGGUCCUCAGGGGCCCAGGUCUGAUGGAAGAGAGUCCCGAGUACAAGUGUUUCCUGCUCCUGGAGGGGCUGGGGGAGGGAGGGGCUGGUCGAGGAGGAGGGUAGAGAGUCCAGUCACUGAAGUCGCCCGGCCCGGCACUCCAGGCACCCACCUCAGGCUGCAGGGCCUGUGGAGACUCCAUCCCAGCUGAGGCCCAGGGCCCACUUUCGGUUCCACUAACGUUGGGCUGCACGUGAACUUGCAGAAUCCGGGGCUGGGUCCUGUGGGGGACGCAGAGAUGAAUGAGGCCCAGCCUGCGCCUCCAGGGAGCUUGCAACGUGUCCCUGAUCGCUGCCUCCAUCAAAGGCAUGUGACAGCCCGCCCGCCCGCCCGCCCGGGGAAGAAGAAAGAGCCGGCUUCCCAGGGGAGGGAUGGCAGCCUGAGGAGUGAGGUGAUUGUUGAAGCUUAAAGGACCAUUAGGAUGUCAAGAGGCAGAAAUGAGGGGCACUCAUUGUAGGGGAACAGCGAGAGCAAAACCAUGGAGGUGCGAGCAUGUUCUGGAACGUUCCUGCCGUCUGGUUUGACUGGUGCACACGGGGAAAUAGUGACCUACUCACUCUUUCCGUGGAUAAGUCAUCGAAUGUGCCAGUGACUUCGUCUAGACAGGCCGAGGGCUCCCAGGGCAAAGACCCACAGGUCCACAGACCCACAGGUCCACAGACCCACAGGUCCACAGACCUACAGGUUCGCAGACCGGAGCAGGGAGGCACAGAGGCCGAAGAGACUUGCUGGGAGGCACAGAGGACAUUAGUGAUUCAGGUUUUGGCGUCCUGUGAAGGGGGCGCAUGCUUGCAUUCCCGUGGGACCUCAACUUCUGCAGGGCGUGCAGCACCCUCUUCUGCGUUCCCGGGAGCCACGCCCCACAGGUGAGGCUGCUGCUCCGUGGAGAACCAGCUCCCUCCUCUUAGACCUCCAGGGCCGGAGCUCUGGCCGCCCUGCUGGGAGGAUGUGGGGAAAAUACUUCACAUUCUUUCCUGAAGGAUUCACGGCCAAGAAAACCAGAUAUGGCUGAUUUAUCCAUCGGGCUCCUCCGCCACAUUCAGCAGAGCUGAGUGAAUCCCCCCUGUCCUACUUCCCACAGCGAAAGGGGGUCCCCGAAAAUAUGGCCGAGGCCACGCUGUGCACCAGGCGAAGGCCGCACCGUGACACGGGAAGAUGGCCGUGACGGAAUCCCAUCGUCAGCUGAAAAAGCAGCUUUUAAAGCAGCAUUACAGCGUGAGCCAGUUUUUUCAUAAACAUCAAAUGACAUAUUUAGACGAAGAAAAGACCUGAGACGGCACACACCAACAUCCUUAUGUCCUCUGUGUGGUGAGGUGACGGGCCAUUUUCCUUUACUCCUCUGAGCUUGUUCCCACAUCCUAACAAUUCUACAGUGAGUGCAAUGACCUCUUCUUGGAGAGUAUCUGAAGAAAAAGUACUUUUCAAUGAUAAAAGUAAUGCAGACUCAUGACAAAAAUCUAAGCAAGCAGAUGUAUGUUCCACAAAAGCGAAAGCCUCUUUCUGGACGCUACACCCCUCCUGUGAGCGUUUCCCAGGAAAACCCGGACGACGGCGGCGAUGCCUGCCUUUUGGGGGUUUUGUCACAAUCGAGUGAGUUAAUACAUGUACAGCGGUUAGAGCCGUGCCUGGCAUAUAAAAAGCAUACGCGAAUUUUA